RNAcentral lists this transfer RNA (82 nucleotides) under marine eukaryotic metagenome. It matches the Rfam family "tRNA". From Rfam's summary of the family: Transfer RNA (tRNA) molecules are approximately 80 nucleotides in length. Their secondary structure includes four short double-helical elements and three loops (D, anti-codon, and T loops). The record is from RNAcentral.
GAGAGGUGGCCGAGUGGUUUAAGGCGCUCGCCUGGAAAGCGGGUUGGCGGCAACGCCUCGCAGGUUCGAAUCCUGUCCUCUC